AGUGAACGCUGGCGGUAGGCCUAACACAUGCAAGUCGAACGGCAGCACAGUAAGAGCUUGCUCUUACGGGUGGCGAGUGGCGGACGGUGAGGAAUACAUCGGAAUCUACUUUUUCGUGGGGGAUAACGUAGGGAAACUUACGCUAAUACCGCAUACGACCUACGGGUGAAAGCAGGGGAUCUUCGGACCUUGCGCGAUUGAAUGAGCCGAUGUCGGAUUAGCUAGUUGGCGGGGUAAAGGCCCACCAAGGCGACGAUCCGUAGCUGGUCUGAGAGGAUGAUCAGCCACACUGGAACUGAGACACGGUCCAGACUCCUACGGGAGGCAGCAGUGGGGAAUAUUGGACAAUGGGCGCAAGCCUGAUCCAGCCAUACCGCGUGGGUGAAGAAGGCCUUCGGGUUGUAAAGCCCUUUUGUUGGGAAAGAAAAGCAGCAGGUUAAUACCCCGCUGUUCCGACGGUACCCAAAGAAUAAGCACCGGCUAACUUCGUG
RNAcentral lists this ribosomal RNA (491 nucleotides) under uncultured bacterium. Its description in RNAcentral is "partial 16S ribosomal RNA". It matches the Rfam family "Bacterial small subunit ribosomal RNA", at positions 29 to 507 of the family's 1533-position model. The record is from RNAcentral.